This is a long non-coding RNA of Acinonyx jubatus (cheetah), 840 nucleotides long. RefSeq lists it as uncharacterized. NCBI's taxonomy places the organism in Eukaryota, Metazoa, Chordata, Mammalia, Carnivora, Felidae. The record is from RefSeq and is a predicted model, not a curated record. The transcript has 3 exons.
CCCAGCUGAUUUCCUCCCCAUCCUCACCAGCAGCAGGACAACCACCACGGCUGAGGGGACGAAGACAAGGACGGAGAGGAGGGCCACAGAGGAGAGCAUGAUGCCAAACCCUAGACAGGGGGAAAGGAAAGACAGGCAGAGAGAGAGAGGGAGACGCAGAAUCGGAAGCGGGCUCUGGGCUUGGAGCUGUCAGCACAGGACCCCACGCGGGGCCUGAACCCACGAACCGCGAGAUCGUGACCUGAGCCGAAGUUGGGCGCUCAACCAACUGAGCCACCCAGGUCUUUGGCUCCAAUCCAACUGAGGAUUAGAAUGGCCACUCAAGAGUCACCAGGGGAUAAUGUCGAAAAAAAAAAAAGGUCAGUCCCUAACCUACUUUCCUUGGGUUUCACACCAAAAGGAAACUGCUGCCCUUUCCAACAUAAAAGAAGUAUGCUGCCCCCCUCGUUAGAGGGGGCACCCUUUCAAGACACGGGCAAGAACACGGCCUCACAACUGAGGGCGCAAACGGACUAGGGAAAUCAAAUGACCUAUCUUUCACACAGGUAACAAGCCCCCCUUUACGGAGGGGUUUGCCAUGCAUCCCACAAGACCUCUGGUCACCUGAAGUUAAAAUAAAAGAGAUUCACAGGGAAACUAGAACAACAAUUGAAUGACAGCUGCAGGUUGCAAAGUAAAGAUUAAGAAAUUCAUCCUAAGAGACAAUUAGCAUGGCAGAAGUCCCCACUGACUGACUGGCUCACAAAGACAGGUAGUUUAGCUUGUCCCUGACCACCCGGGCAAGCACCACAGGAGGCACAAAGCCCCGCAGCAGGUUGGCGGCAGUUAGCUUACCCCUCU